This 382-nucleotide unclassified non-coding RNA is filed under the name Hevea brasiliensis (rubber tree). Lineage: Eukaryota; Viridiplantae; Streptophyta; Magnoliopsida; Malpighiales; Euphorbiaceae. The record is from RNAcentral.
UCUUGAGUAUCAACCUCUUCCGUGAGUCCAGCUGAUUCCAUUGUCUUCUUAACCCAUUCCUUUAAUGGAUCUUCGUUCAAAUCAAGCCUUAGAAGUCCAGCAAAUAGCCCACCGGCGAAGGCAACUGGCUCCUUAAGAGCUUCUUUGAUAACGGGAUCCUCAACAGGAUUGAAGAAAAAUGCGGAGAUGCCAUUUGUAGAUUUAUUGCAGCCGAUACGAAGAUAAUUACCGCGCAUAGGUUUGUUGGAUGAUAAAAUCGAAUGAUGAUUCUGUGCCUUCAAUUUCCCCAUUUCUCCAAACAGAACGCUCGUAGCCGAAGAGGAGUGAAGAAUAAGAGCGGCCAUGGGUAAUCUCUCUGAUGACGCUAAUGGGGCUGUUUCUG